GGCUGGAUAACAUAAUAGGUAAUGUACAAGAUUGCAAAUCUUGUAAUGUCGGUUCGAACCCGUCUCUAGCUU
RNAcentral lists this transfer RNA (72 nucleotides) under Vischeria punctata. RNAcentral's name for it is "tRNA-Cys". It matches the Rfam family "tRNA". From Rfam's summary of the family: Transfer RNA (tRNA) molecules are approximately 80 nucleotides in length. Their secondary structure includes four short double-helical elements and three loops (D, anti-codon, and T loops). Further hydrogen bonds mediate the characteristic L-shaped molecular structure. tRNAs have two regions of fundamental functional importance: the anti-codon, which is responsible for specific mRNA codon recognition, and the 3' end, to which the tRNAs corresponding amino acid is attached (by aminoacyl-tRNA synthetases). tRNAs cope with the degeneracy of the genetic code in two manners: having more than one tRNA (with a specific anti-codon) for a particular amino acid; and 'wobble' base-pairing, i.e. permitting non-standard base-pairing at the 3rd anti-codon position. The record is from RNAcentral. RNAcentral also lists the same sequence under 1 other name. Lineage: Eukaryota; Eustigmatophyceae; Eustigmatales; Chlorobotryaceae.